RNAcentral lists this ribosomal RNA (497 nucleotides) under fungal sp. MU-35. RNAcentral's name for it is "eukaryotic LSU rRNA". It matches the Rfam family "Eukaryotic large subunit ribosomal RNA", at positions 96 to 598 of the family's 3401-position model. The record is from RNAcentral. Lineage: Eukaryota; Fungi.
AAGCGGCAACAGCUCAAAUUUGAAAUCUGGCCCUUUCAGGGUCCGAGUUGUAAUUUGGAGAAGAUGCUUCGGGUGUGGCCCCGGUCUAAGUUCCUUGGAACAGGACGUCAUAGAGGGUGAGAAUCCCGUAUGUGACCGGUGGCCUCGCCCAUGUGAAGCUCUUUCGACGAGUCGAGUUGUUUGGGAAUGCAGCUCAAAAUGGGUGGUAAAUUUCACUAAAGCUAAAUAUUGGCCAGAGACCGAUAGCGCACAAGUAGAGUGAUCGAAAGAUGAAAAGCACUUUGGAAAGAGAGUUAAACACUACGUGAAAUUGUUGAAAGGGAAGCGCUUGCAACCAGACUUGCGCGCGGCCGAUCAUCCGGUGUUCUCACCGGUGCACUCGGUCGCGCUCAGGCCAGCAUCGGUUUGGGUGGCUGGAUAAAGGCCUCGGGAAUGUGGCUCCCCUCGGGGAGUGUUAUAGCCCGAGGUGCAAUGCAGCCUACCCGGACCGAGGACCG